GUGGGGAAUAUUGGACAAUGGGCGAAAGCCUGAUCCAGCAACGCCGCGUGGAGGACGAAGGUCUUCGGAUCGUAAACUCCUGUCAGAUGGGACGAACGGACGUCGGUAAAUAAUCGACGUCUUUGACGGUACCGUCAGAGGAAGCCCCGGCUAACUCCGUGCCAGCAGCCGCGGUAAUACGGAGGGGGCGAGCGUUAUUCGGAAUUAUUGGGCGUAAAGGGCGCGUAGGUGGCCCUGUAAGUCAAAGGUGAAAUCCCUCGGCUCAACCGAGGAAUUGCCCUUGAAACUGCAGGGCUUGAGGCCGGGAGGGGGUAGCGGAAUUCCCAGUGUAGCGGUGAAAUGCGUAGAUACUGGGAGGAACACCGGUGGCGAAGGCGGCUACCUGGACCGGUUCUGACACUGAUGCGCGAAAGCGUGGGUAGCAAACAGGAUUAGAUACCCUGGUAGUCC
Molecule: ribosomal RNA, 450 nt
Filed under: uncultured bacterium
Lineage: Bacteria
Description: bacterial SSU rRNA
Rfam family: Bacterial small subunit ribosomal RNA
Source: RNAcentral